AGUGAACGCUGGCGGUAGGCCUAACACAUGCAAGUCGAACGGCAGCACAGUAAGAGCUUGCUCUUACGGGUGGCGAGUGGCGGACGGGUGAGGAAUACAUCGGAAUCUACUUUUUCGUGGGGGAAAACGUAGGGAAACUUACGCUAAUACCGCAUACGACCUACGGGUGAAAGAAGGGGACCUUCGGACCUUGCGCGAUUGAUUGAGCCGAUGUCGGAUUAGCUAGUUGGCGGGGUAAAGGCCCACCAAGGCGACGAUCCGUAGCUGGUCUGAGAGGAUGAUCAGCCACACUGGAACUGAGACACGGUCCAGACUCCUACGGGAGGCAGCAGUGGGGAAUAUUGGACAAUGGGCGCAAGCCUGAUCCAGCCAUACCGCGUGGGUGAAGAAGGCCUUCGGGUUGUAAAGCCCUUUUGUUGGGAAAGAAAAGCAGCAGGUUAAUACCCCGCUGUUCUGACGGUACCCAAAGAAUAAGCACCGGCUAACUUCGUG
This 492-nucleotide ribosomal RNA is filed under the name uncultured bacterium. RNAcentral describes it as "partial 16S ribosomal RNA". It matches the Rfam family "Bacterial small subunit ribosomal RNA", at positions 29 to 507 of the family's 1533-position model. The record is from RNAcentral.